CCUACGGGUGGCUGCAGUGAGGAAUAUUGGUCAAUGGACGCAAGUCUGAACCAGCGAUGCCGCGUGCAGGAAGACGGCUCUAUGAGUUGUAACCUGCUUUUGUACGGGGGUAAAGUGAGAUACGCGUACCUGUCUGAAAGUACCGUAUGACUACGGAUCGGCUAACUCCGUGCCAGCAGCCGCGGUAAUACGGAGGAUUCAAGCGUUAUCCGGAUUUAUUGGGUUUAAAGGGUGCGUAGACGGUUGGAGAAGUUAGAGGUGAAAGCCCGAGGCUCAACCGUGGAAUUGCAGCUGAUACUGGCAGGCUAGAGAGCAGUUGCGGUAGGCGGAAUGUAUGGUGUAGCGGUGAAAUGCUUAGAGAUCAGGAAGAACACCGAUUGCGAAGGCAGCUUACUAAGCUGCUACUGACGUUGAGGCGCGAAAGCGUGGGGAGCAAACAGGAUUAGAUACCCUGGUAGUC
This 460-nucleotide ribosomal RNA is filed under the name uncultured bacterium. RNAcentral describes it as "partial 16S ribosomal RNA". It matches the Rfam family "Bacterial small subunit ribosomal RNA", at positions 338 to 795 of the family's 1533-position model. The record is from RNAcentral.